GUGUCAGCAGCCGCGGUAAUACAGAGACUGCAAGCGUUAUUCGGAUUCACUGGGCGUAAAGGGUGCGCAGGCGGCCAAGUGUGUGAGGCGUGAAAGCCCGGGGCUUAACCCCGGAAUUGCACCUCAAACUACAUGGCUAGAGCAUUGGAGAGGGUAGCAGAAUUCACGGUGUAGCAGUGAAAUGCGUAGAUAUCGUGAGGAAUACCAGAGGCGAAGGCGGCUACCUGGACAAUUGCUGACGCUCAGGCACGAAAGCGUGGGGAGCAAAAGGGAUUAGAUACCCCUGUAGUCCACGCCCUAAACGGUGCACACUAGGUCUUGGCGGAUUCGACCCCGCCAGGGCCCAAGCUAACGCGUUAAGUGUGCCGCCUGAGGACUACGGCCGCAAGGCUAAA
Molecule: ribosomal RNA, 395 nt
Filed under: uncultured bacterium
Lineage: Bacteria
Description: bacterial SSU rRNA
Rfam family: Bacterial small subunit ribosomal RNA
Source: RNAcentral